This 568-nucleotide long non-coding RNA is filed under the name Apteryx rowi (Okarito brown kiwi). Its description in RNAcentral is "lncRNA (ENSARWG00000015740.1)". The record is from RNAcentral. Lineage: Eukaryota; Metazoa; Chordata; Aves; Apterygiformes; Apterygidae.
UUGUAAGGAAGGUUCAGAGAUGACAAAACCAGCUGGGCUUUCCAGAUAAAUACAGCUGAUCUGCUCAGCCCAGCAGCCCAGUCUAACUUGCCUCUGCACCACAGUAAGUAUAUGCCUGAAGACUGCAUAGGCACAGCUAUAGGCACUACCUAGCCUGAGUACCAAUAUAGGUGCUGCGUACUUCAGUGUCAGCUGUGCACCAUUCUGCGUUGCAGAUUGCCUAUGAAGAAAGCAUUUUUGUAGAAGUCAUGCAUAAUUAUUACUCAAGAAGAGGAUAUCAAAGGAUUUUUCCAAAAGGAUUUGGUGCUCUCAAAGGCAAAAUCUUGCUUGCCUAUUAAUGCAUGAAACCUCACUGAAGUCACUGAAACGACUCGUGUGAAAAGAUAUACUAAAGUUCAUUAUAGGAAGAUUAGCYGUUUGGGUUUAAGAAAACUGUAUACAAAGUGCCAUUGUGAAGAGAGGUAGUUUCGGUCUUUGUCAUUUACAUACCAAGCAGAUACUUCCACCCUUUGCUCCCAAUUUGAUAACUGAGCAAAAGCAUAACAAUAAAGAAAGAAAAAUACAUAUU